UAAUAUUUUUUUUAUAUUUUGUGGUGAUUUUUUUACACACAAGAAUGGAAGGUAAAAAAGGACAAAAUUUGUCUUCCCACGUCCCUCCAGCGGAUCCGGAUUGUUCGUGCAAAGAAGGCGCGUCCUAGAGUCCGUGCCGGCCCGUAACUGAAAUAUGCAUAUAGUGUAUAUAUAUGUGUGUAUUCUGAAGCAGCAAUGUGGUCUUCUCACCUCUCUCCGGCGGGCAUGCAUUCGGAUUGUUUGCGCAAAGAGGGGCCGUCCCAGGGACCGGGGCGGCCCGCCACUGCAAAGACUAUGCAAUACCAAGAUAUUGCAUCAGAAAAAAAUGUUAUUUCAAAGCCCAGAAAUAUGUAUGUAGUUGUGUAUGUGUGUUCUCAUCAAUGUGCUGAAUCUAGCCCAAGAAAUGUAGUUGUUUUUGCCAUUUUGCGGCCUAGAAGGUUCGUUAGGCGUCGCUAAAAAUUGUAUUUGUUGCUAAAACAUUUUGGAAUUGUGAAGGAGUACGCUCUUGCUUCUACGGCUUGUUUCUGGUCGAAUAUGUGUAUGAGCUCCUCGGGGAAUUCACAUUAUUUGCUUCGCUCCUAGUGUUACUAUUUUAUUAGUUUCGCGUACUGCCUAGGGAUACGGUACACUGGAAAUUAUUAGAGGGUAGAAGGUAGAAUCUACCAUGACCUAUCAUGACCCUGAAAAGCCGAGAUAAUUCAUAAUAAUAAUCCCUGGAGUGUCCUGUAUUCGCUAGCCUACUUUGUUCCCGGGCGGCAUGGUUCGCCAAUUAACGUACUUUUCUACCACAUAGCCAUAGUAACAAAUAUUUUUGUAUACACUAAAUUCAUUUAAACGCAUACUUGCCAAAACUAUUAAGAACCCUCAAAUCAAAAUUAAAUUGACCGAAUAUACUAAAAAUAACCAUACAAAUAGAUAAUAUAAAUAUAAAUAAUUACAAAUACAUACAUAAGUAAUAGAGCAUAUAGUAAUAACUAAAAAGCAAUAUAGAUAGAUAAUAUAGAUUUUAGUUAACUGAAAAUAGAAAAUUAUACCGCAAUA
Long non-coding RNA from Drosophila miranda, 1041 nucleotides. RefSeq lists it as uncharacterized. The transcript is spliced from 3 exons. The record is from RefSeq and is a predicted model, not a curated record. Lineage: Eukaryota; Metazoa; Arthropoda; Insecta; Diptera; Drosophilidae.